Molecule: ribosomal RNA, 119 nt
Filed under: Neotoma lepida (desert woodrat)
Lineage: Eukaryota; Metazoa; Chordata; Mammalia; Rodentia; Cricetidae
Source: RNAcentral
GUCUAUGAUCAUACCAUCCUGAACGUGCCUGAUCUCUUCUGAUCUUGGAAACUAAGCAGAGUUGGGCCUGUUUAGUACUUGGAUGGGAGACAUAUCAGGAAUUCCACUUUUUGCUUUUU